This 261-nucleotide unclassified non-coding RNA is filed under the name plant metagenome. Its description in RNAcentral is "partial contains small subunit ribosomal RNA, internal transcribed spacer 1, and 5.8S ribosomal RNA". The record is from RNAcentral.
UUUCCGUGGGUGAACCUGCGGAAGGAUCAUUAUUGUAUAACCGAGGUGCGAGGGCUGUCGCUGACCCGAAAGGUCGUGCACGCCCGAGUGCCCUCACACAUCCAUCUCACCCCUAUGUGCACCACCGCGUGGGUCCCCCUUUGGCUUGUUCGGAGGGGGGCUUACGUUUUCACACAAACUUUGUAUGCAGUGUAGAAUGUAUUUUUUGUUUUUGCGAUCACGCAAUCAAUACAACUUUCAACAACGGAUCUCUUGGCUCUC